This 497-nucleotide ribosomal RNA is filed under the name uncultured bacterium. Its description in RNAcentral is "partial 16S ribosomal RNA". It matches the Rfam family "Bacterial small subunit ribosomal RNA", at positions 28 to 507 of the family's 1533-position model. The record is from RNAcentral.
GAUGAACGCUGGCGGCGUGCCUAAUACAUGCAAGUCGAGCGAACAGACGGGGAGCUUGCUCCUCUGACGUUAGCGGCGGACGGGUGAGUAACACGUGGAUAACCUACCUAUAAGACUGGGAUAACUUCGGGAAACCGGAGCUAAUACCGGAUAAUAUAUUGAACCGCAUGGUUCAAUGGUGAAAGACGGUUUUGCUGUCACUUAUAGAUGGAUCCGCGCCGCAUUAGCUAGUUGGUAAGGUAACGGCUUACCAAGGCAACGAUGCGUAGCCGACCUGAGAGGGUGAUCGGCCACACUGGAACUGAGACACGGUCCAGACUCCUACGGGAGGCAGCAGUAGGGAAUCUUCCGCAAUGGGCGAAAGCUUGACGGAGCAACGCCGCGUGAGUGAUGAAGGUCUUCGGAUCGUAAAACUCUGUUAUUAGGGAAGAACAAAUGUGUAAGUAACUAUGCACGUCUUGACGGUACCUAAUCAGAAAGCCACGGCUAACUACGUG